RNAcentral lists this ribosomal RNA (483 nucleotides) under uncultured bacterium. RNAcentral describes it as "partial 16S ribosomal RNA". It matches the Rfam family "Bacterial small subunit ribosomal RNA", at positions 899 to 1397 of the family's 1533-position model. The record is from RNAcentral.
ACUCAAAUGAAUUGACGGGGGCCCGCACAAGCAGCGGAGCGUGCGGUUUAAUUCGUCGCAACGCGAAGAACCUUACCAAGGCUUGACAUGCUAGUGGUACCGAUCCGAAAGGUGAGGGACCCUUCGGGGAGCUAGCACAGGUGCUGCAUGGCUGUUGUCAGCUCGUGCCGUGAGGUGUUGGGUUAAGUCCCGCAACGAGCGCAACCCCUGUUGCCAGUUGUAUUCUCUGGCGAGACUGCCCCGUAAAGCGGGGAGGAAGGCGGGGAUGACUUCAAGUCAGCACGGCCCUUACGUCUUGGGCCACUCGCACGCUACAAUGGCCGGUCCAAUAGGUUGCCAAGGAGCGAUCCGGAGCUAAUCCCUAAAGCCGGCCUCAGUUCAGAUUGCAGGCUGAAACCCGCCUGCAUGAAGUCGGAGUUGCUAGUAACUGCCGGUCAGCACACGGCGGUGAAUACGUUCCCGGGCCUUGUACACACCGCCCGU